UUCGGUCCGCUGACGAGUGGCGAACGGGUGCGUAACACGUGGAUGACCUGUCUCGAGGCGGGGGAUAACGACUGGAAACAGUUGCUAAUACCGCAUGAGCUCUACGGAGGGAAGGCUUCGGCCACCUUGAGAGGGGUCCGCGUCGGAUUAGCUAGUUGGUGAGGGUAAUGGCCCACCAAGGCGACGAUCCGUAGCUGGUCCGAGAGGAUGAUCAGCCACACUGGGACUGAGACACGGCCCAGACUCCUACGGGAGGCAGCAGUGGGGAAUAUUGCGCAAUGGGGGAAACCCUGACGCAGCAAUACCGCGUGAGUGAAGAAGGCCUUCGGGUUGUAAAGCUCUUUUAGUGGGGAAGAUAGUGACGGUACCCACAGAAAAAACUCCGGCUAACUCCGUGCCAGCAGCCGCGGUAAUACGGAGGGAGUGAGCGUUGUUCGGAUUUACUGGGCGUAAAGAGCGCGUAGGUUGUUUAGUAAG
RNAcentral lists this ribosomal RNA (477 nucleotides) under uncultured Magnetococcus sp. RNAcentral's name for it is "bacterial SSU rRNA". It matches the Rfam family "Bacterial small subunit ribosomal RNA", at positions 79 to 587 of the family's 1533-position model. The record is from RNAcentral. Lineage: Bacteria; Pseudomonadati; Pseudomonadota; Magnetococcia; Magnetococcales; Magnetococcaceae.